This 98-nucleotide transfer RNA is filed under the name Nocardioides sp. T2.26MG-1. RNAcentral's name for it is "tRNA-Arg(tcg)". Lineage: Bacteria; Bacillati; Actinomycetota; Actinomycetes; Propionibacteriales; Nocardioidaceae. The record is from RNAcentral.
GGUCGCCCUGGCCUGGCGGCGCCUCCGGCGCCGCCUUCGGCGCGGCACGGAGACGGAGCAGAUUGCCGGAGCGUGGAUCUGGUCCACGCGUCGACUGC